GGAUAGGUGGCUGAGUGGUCGAAAGCGGCACACUGCUAAUGUGUUAUGGGAGUGAUCCCAUCGAGGGUUCGAAUCCCUCCCUGUCCG
RNAcentral lists this transfer RNA (87 nucleotides) under Chamaesiphon sp. RNAcentral's name for it is "tRNA-Ser". It matches the Rfam family "tRNA". From Rfam's summary of the family: Transfer RNA (tRNA) molecules are approximately 80 nucleotides in length. Lineage: Bacteria; Bacillati; Cyanobacteriota; Cyanophyceae; Gomontiellales; Chamaesiphonaceae. The record is from RNAcentral.